Molecule: ribosomal RNA, 253 nt
Filed under: uncultured bacterium
Lineage: Bacteria
Description: partial 16S ribosomal RNA
Rfam family: Bacterial small subunit ribosomal RNA
Source: RNAcentral
UACAGAGGUCUCGAGCGUUAGGCGGAAUCACUGGGCGUAAAGGGUGCGUAGGCGGGUCUUUAAGUCAGGGGUGAAAUCCUGGAGCUCAACUCCAGAACUGCCCUUGAUACUGAAGAUCUUGAGUUCGGGAGAGGUGAGUGGAACUGCGAGUGUAGAGGUGAAAUUCGUAGAUAUUCGCAAGAACACCAGUGGCGAAGGCGGCUCACUGGCCCGAUACUGACGCUGAGGCACGAAAGCGUGGGGAGCAAACAGG